This 330-nucleotide ribosomal RNA is filed under the name uncultured eukaryote. Its description in RNAcentral is "partial 18S ribosomal RNA". It matches the Rfam family "Eukaryotic small subunit ribosomal RNA", at positions 1470 to 1796 of the family's 1831-position model. The record is from RNAcentral.
CCCUUAGAUGUUCUGGGCCGCACGCGUGCUACACUGACGCAUUCAACGAGUCUAAAACCUGGUCUGAUAGGGCUGGGUAAUCUUUUGAAAGUGCAUCGUGAUUGGGAUAGAUGAUUGCAAUUCUUCAUCUUCAACGAGGAAUGCCUAGUAAACGCAAGUCAUCAGCUUGCAUUGAUUACGUCCCUGCCCUUUGUACACACCGCCCGUCGCUCCUACCGAUUGAAUGAUCCGAUGAAUACCAUGGAUUGAGAGUACGAAUAGGUUCGCUUAUUUCUGCUGCUCGAGAAGUGGAGUAAAUCUUAUCAUUUAGAGGAAGGAGUAGUCGUAACA